UACUGUGAUGACCAACUGUCGCCCCAAACGGAUAUUACAUGACAGAUUCGACAAGCCAAACACUGAAAAUUCUGAUA
Molecule: small nucleolar RNA, 77 nt
Organism: Pichia membranifaciens
Lineage: Eukaryota; Fungi; Ascomycota; Pichiomycetes; Pichiales; Pichiaceae
Source: Rfam